This 616-nucleotide ribosomal RNA is filed under the name uncultured bacterium. Its description in RNAcentral is "bacterial SSU rRNA". It matches the Rfam family "Bacterial small subunit ribosomal RNA", at positions 338 to 951 of the family's 1533-position model. The record is from RNAcentral.
CCUACGGGAGGCAGCAGUGGGGAAUUUUGGACAAUGGGCGCAAGCCUGAUCCAGCCAUGCCGCGUGCAGGAUGAAGGCCUUCGGGUUGUAAACUGCUUUUGUACGGAACGAAAAGGUCUUUUUUAAUAAAGAGGGCCCAUGACGGUACCGUAAGAAUAAGCACCGGCUAACUACGUGCCAGCAGCCGCGGUAAUACGUAGGGUGCAGGCGUUAAUCGGAAUUACUGGGCGUAAAGCGUGCGCAGGCGGUAAUGUAAGACAGAUGUGAAAUCCCCGGGCUCAACCUGGGAACUGCAUUUGUGACUGCAUUGCUGGAGUGCGGCAGAGGGGGAUGGAAUUCCGCGUGUAGCAGUGAAAUGCGUAGAUAUGCGGAGGAACACCGAUGGCGAAGGCAAUCCCCUGGGCCUGCACUGACGCUCAUGCACGAAAGCGUGGGGAGCAAACAGGAUUAGAUACCCUGGUAGUCCACGCCCUAAACGAUGUCAACUGGUUGUUGGGUCUUCAUUGACUCAGUAACGAAGCUAACGCGUGAAGUUGACCGCCUGGGGAGUCGGCCGCAAGGUUGAACUUAAGGAAUUGACGGNGNGAGAGUGCGACGACGACGACGAGGGAGGAGG